Long non-coding RNA from Stegodyphus dumicola, 531 nucleotides. The record is from RefSeq and is a predicted model, not a curated record. NCBI's taxonomy places the organism in Eukaryota, Metazoa, Arthropoda, Arachnida, Araneae, Eresidae.
UUACUUUUUUUUUGUAGGUUUCAUAUUAUUCCCAAAUGAAGUUUGAUCUUCCAGAUCAUAUGCUUUCAUUCCAAACUUUAUAUUGAACUCAGCUUAACUCAGUUAUUGAUUUUGUGUCUUUAGGAUUUCCCUAUUAAACAUGCAAAGGCUGUCUUCCCAAGAAGAAAGAUGCUUCUGUGUGGACUGUGUAAUGAAAAAUGACUUGUAUUCACUCUGUACAUGAGAACAGGGAGAAAAAAUGAAUUGGGACCUUUUAAAAUAUAACAGGAGACAUUCUAUAGAUUGCUAAUAUUUUCAUAGUUCAGUACACCACAAGGAGACAUCAAGUGAACUUUCUUCGAUAAAGAUUCUAAAUGAACUUCUAGAAAAGUUUCAUUUAGAACUAAUUGUUUGUUAUGUGAAUUCACCUGCUUUCAUUUUGUAACUGCUAACUUACUUCUACUGUAGCAUUAUACUUUUGUAAUAAUGUAUGCUAUUGUCUGUCUUUGUAGCGUAUAAUAGGUUUUUAAAAAUAAAUUUUUUUUAAUGAGA